UGCGGGUGGCUGCGUCAAUGUGAAAGGCUCCUCAUGCAGAAGCCGAUAGAGAACACUAGGCCUGAUCGUGAUCGUUUGUGGCACGAGAUUAAUACGGAAGUGGCGAUGAAAUCGUUACGGAGGGAGUACGUUGGGGAGGCCCAUAAGAUAUUGUACAAGGAGCUGUGUAAGUUGAGGAACGAAUGCUCAAAGAACCAGCACUACAGCUGCUAUACCUCCAUAGUACAGGGUUCUGGCACGGGGAAAACACGCGGGGUGAU
Selaginella moellendorffii is the source of this 260-nucleotide long non-coding RNA. RefSeq lists it as uncharacterized. The record is from RefSeq and is a predicted model, not a curated record. The transcript is spliced from 3 exons. NCBI's taxonomy places the organism in Eukaryota, Viridiplantae, Streptophyta, Lycopodiopsida, Selaginellales, Selaginellaceae.